GCCCAGUUAGCUCAGUUGGUAGAGCAACUGACUCUUAAUCAGUGGGUCUAGAGUUCGAAUCUCUAACUGGGCACCA
RNAcentral lists this transfer RNA (76 nucleotides) under Clostridium sp. RNAcentral's name for it is "tRNA-Lys". It matches the Rfam family "tRNA". From Rfam's summary of the family: Transfer RNA (tRNA) molecules are approximately 80 nucleotides in length. Their secondary structure includes four short double-helical elements and three loops (D, anti-codon, and T loops). Further hydrogen bonds mediate the characteristic L-shaped molecular structure. tRNAs have two regions of fundamental functional importance: the anti-codon, which is responsible for specific mRNA codon recognition, and the 3' end, to which the tRNAs corresponding amino acid is attached (by aminoacyl-tRNA synthetases). tRNAs cope with the degeneracy of the genetic code in two manners: having more than one tRNA (with a specific anti-codon) for a particular amino acid; and 'wobble' base-pairing, i.e. permitting non-standard base-pairing at the 3rd anti-codon position. The record is from RNAcentral. Lineage: Bacteria; Bacillati; Bacillota; Clostridia; Eubacteriales; Clostridiaceae. RNAcentral also lists the same sequence under 5 other names.